RNAcentral lists this non-coding RNA (49 nucleotides) under unclassified sequences. Its description in RNAcentral is "L31-Gammaproteobacteria ribosomal protein leader". It matches the Rfam family "L31-Gammaproteobacteria ribosomal protein leader". The record is from RNAcentral.
CGCAUGGUAUUCGGCAACAGAUCGGAUGGCGAUGCGGCCUGACAGAGGU